This is a long non-coding RNA of Cucumis sativus (cucumber), 1124 nucleotides long. RefSeq lists it as uncharacterized. The transcript is spliced from 2 exons. Lineage: Eukaryota; Viridiplantae; Streptophyta; Magnoliopsida; Cucurbitales; Cucurbitaceae. The record is from RefSeq and is a predicted model, not a curated record.
UGGUUGGCAUCUCCCCUGACAGGGUCGGGAACAGCCUUCGGGCUUUCCUGUUAACACAUACGGUUAAGGCUACCCACCUCUCGAAGGUGGAUCUAACCCAAUUUUUUUUCAUUUCUUUUUCCUUUUGCGUUCGCGAAGAGGGUGCCUGCGUUUGUUGAUGGGAACUGCGAAGUUGGUGAGAGAUUUGUUUUGGUGUAAAGCUCCAGCUUUUUAUGUUCCUGCUGGGUGUUAGGAAUUUCCUAAUCAGUCUUUAAAUGCUGUACAGAUCAAAUGAACUUCUGUUCUGCAGGUUGGGAAUGUGACCAAACAUGACAAAGAGAGUACCUGCCAGAUAAGAUUGGACAACUAUGCCCGUUUCUAUGAAUAGUUUUAGGUAAAACCAAAAGCAGCAUCACGUAGAUUUAUUUCCAAAAUGGAUAGGAGCGUUGCCCGUAACAUCUCAUCCAUCCUAGAUUUUAAGUUAAGCCUAGUUUGGUACUGUUUUAGUCUUUGGUUCUUAGAAGUAAAGCUUAUAAGCUCUCUUUUGCCUAUGAGGUUUUCUUAUUGUUGUUUAGGGGAAGAAUUCAAAUCUUUUGGGGAAGAUGAAAACAUAUGUGAGAAAAUAAACACAAUUUUAAAAAACCAAGUUAUUUUGAUAUUAGAUGAGAUCCCAAGGGUCACUCCAGUUGCAUGAGAAAGAUGAUAAAACUUCAUCAUUCUUCUCGGAAAGAGGUUCUAGUUUCUUCAUUCAGCUGUGUUGGAGGAAAGAUGUGCACAAGCAGAAGCAGAAGUACUAGCCUUGAUCUCAGAUAAGUCAAGGACUAAUUCUUCAAGGCCCCAUCCUUCUCAAGUUGUCACAACUACUACCAUUUUCUUAGCAAACUCACAAUGUCAGUUUACAAAGGAGGUGCCAAUUCAUUCGUCCUCUGAAGAUGCAGUUUAUUAAGGAAGAUUUUAGACGAUGACUGAUCUUCAGUGAGUGAGUAUUAUUUGGUGUUAAACACUAUUCCUGAAGUAUUUGAUGAAGAUCUUAGUGAAUAUAUUGCAUAUUUGUCAAUAGUCUCAAUAUACAAGUUAAUGUGUAAUUCAAUGGAUUAUUCAAUUUGAACAUUAUUGAUGCAAAAUUAUAAUUUGUUUAGUUUUAA